GGACCUGUGGCUCAGUCUGGAUGUGUAAAACACAAGGCAAAUAGAGCGAUCCCCUCCUACGGGAUAGGUCGGGAGUUCAAAUCUCCUCUGGUCCG
Molecule: transfer RNA, 95 nt
Filed under: Candidatus Woesearchaeota archaeon
Lineage: Archaea; Nanobdellati; Candidatus Woesearchaeota
Description: tRNA-Arg
Rfam family: tRNA
About the family: Transfer RNA (tRNA) molecules are approximately 80 nucleotides in length.
Source: RNAcentral